GACGAACGCUGGCGGCGUGCUUAACACAUGCAAGUCGAACGAAGUGGCGAACGGGUGAGUAACGCGUAAUCAACCUGCCCUUCAGAGGGGGACAACAGUUGGAAACGACAGCUAAUACCGCAUACGGAAGGAGGGGAUUGCGUUUGAUUAGCUAGUUGGGUGGGUAACGGCCCACCAAGGCGAUGAUCAGUAGCCGGUCUGAGAGGAUGAACGGCCACAAUGGGACUGAGACACGGCCCAGACUCCUACUGGAGGCAGCAGUGGGGAAUCUUCCGCAAUGGACGGAAGUCUGACGGAGCAACGCCGCGUGAGUGAUGACGGCCUUCGGGGUGUAAAGCUCUGUUAAUCGGGACGCGGUACCGGAAUAGAAAGCCACGGCUAACUACGUGCCAGCAGCCGCGGUAAUUC
This 408-nucleotide ribosomal RNA is filed under the name uncultured bacterium. RNAcentral describes it as "partial 16S ribosomal RNA". It matches the Rfam family "Bacterial small subunit ribosomal RNA", at positions 28 to 526 of the family's 1533-position model. The record is from RNAcentral.